RNAcentral lists this long non-coding RNA (840 nucleotides) under Triticum aestivum (bread wheat). RNAcentral's name for it is "long non-coding RNA (TAES_LNC028187)". The record is from RNAcentral. Lineage: Eukaryota; Viridiplantae; Streptophyta; Magnoliopsida; Poales; Poaceae.
UCACUUUUCACUCUCACUCCAGAUCAAUUCUCCAUAUAGGUAAUGAAAUCGUUGCUACCCAUCUGCAUGGUAAAACUUUUUUUUUUUUGAACUGACUCUGCCUUGCAAAUCUUCCAAUGGAGCCCAUCUCCUUUUGUUAAUGAUAUACCUAAUUCUCUCUGUGGUAGCAGAAUCAGAGGACCUCCUCCAUAGGGGCUGUCAUGGAAGGUGAGAUUUAUCGAACUCUGUGUCACCCAGUGCUCCGAGGAAGGUGUGUUCAACAUUUGUAGCGGGUUGUGUAGGAAACAUGAGUAGUUGAAUGCUUGCUUGUAUUUUGUUGGUCACGCGAUGCGACCUUAGAGAGCAUCAAGGAGCCGCAAUCCUAGAAGGUCAGUGACUCUUUCUGGUUUUCUCGUGUUUUACAAGAAUAAAAUAAAACACACCAAUGUAUGUAUCUACGGAUCUUGAAAGAAUUGUUUUUCUUGUGAAACUAGAAGGAGCAUCUCGAGCGACAGUGGGAGCAGCAGCGCCCGCCUUCCCGGAGGCAUAGGUACUAGAAGCAAACUCGGGGCAAACUGGGGAUAACCCGGCCCCGGCCAGAAACAGGGCAAACCGAGGGGGCGAACGAUGAUGGAUGUGGUUCUUCAUGUACCAGUGUUUUAGUGUUUUGAUCUGCUCGUAUACUGACGAAGUGUCUAAUGUUUUUUUUUUUGAAUCUGUCUAAUGUUUGGUUAGCGUUCAGAGCAACCGACCUGUUUAAUGUUCUGUUCUGGUAUGUAUAAACGUACCCACGUGAAAAAAAGAUGCCCGUGAAGGUUCAGUUGGGCUCGGACUCGGAGAAAAACCAAACCGAGCUCCUCG